CUACGGGGGGCACCAGUGAGGAAUAUUGCACAAUGGGGGGAACCCUGAUGCAGCAACGCCGCGUGGAGGAUGACGCAUUUCGGUGUGUAAACUCCUUUUAUAUGUCAAGAAAAUGACGGUAGCAUAUGAAUAAGCACCGGCUAACUCCGUGCCAGCAGCCGCGGUAAUACGGAGGGUGCAAGCGUUACUCGGAAUCAUUGGGCGUAAAGGACGCGUAGGCGAGUUGGAAAGUCAGGUGUGAAAUCCUACAGCUUAACUGUAGAACUGCGCUUGAAACUUCUAAUCUAGAGUAUGGGAGGGGGAGAUGGAAUUAGUGGUGUAGGGGUAAAAUCCGUAGAUAUCACUAGGAAUACCUAAAGCGAAGGCGAUCUCCUGGAACAUUACUGACGCUAAGGCGUGAAAGCGUGGGGAGCAAACAGGAUUAGAUACCCGAGUAGUC
This 439-nucleotide ribosomal RNA is filed under the name uncultured bacterium. Its description in RNAcentral is "partial 16S ribosomal RNA". It matches the Rfam family "Bacterial small subunit ribosomal RNA", at positions 339 to 795 of the family's 1533-position model. The record is from RNAcentral.